This 310-nucleotide unclassified non-coding RNA is filed under the name Icmadophila sp. Its description in RNAcentral is "partial contains 5.8S ribosomal RNA, internal transcribed spacer 2, and large subunit ribosomal RNA". The record is from RNAcentral. Lineage: Eukaryota; Fungi; Ascomycota; Lecanoromycetes; Pertusariales; Icmadophilaceae.
AACGCAAGUUGCGCCCGAUGCCAUUAGGUUGAGGGCACGUCUGCCUGGGUGUCACAUAUUGAAGCCUCCUGCCAAUUUCCUUUUGACAGGUAUUGUGCAGGGUGGAUGUUGGCCUCCCGUGAGCUCUCUUUCGUCUCAUGGUUGGUUGAAAAUUGAGACCUUGGUAGGGUGUGCCAUGAUAAAUGGUGGUUGUGUGACCCACGAGACCAAUCAUGUGUUGCUCUAUUGAAUUUGGGCUCUUUUACCCAUUUGCGUUUCUAAACGCUCGUGAUGAGACCUCAGGUCAGGCGGGGCUACCCGCUGAAUUUAA